CAGUUAUUUUCUCUCUCAAACUCACUCUUCCUUCCCUUCACUACACAGCGCCGCCGUUUCCAUCUUCAGAUCUAACACCACCACCGCUAUAAUCCACCGCCAUCACCACUAAACGAAUCGACGGGUUACAAAUGGAAUAUGAGUUUUGUGUCUCAUAUUCCCUGGAGAGAGAGAGGAACGUAAAAUGGUGAUUUUCUUUGGUAUAGGCGGAAUCGAAAAUGGGGAUUUCUUAUGCGUCUUCAAUGCGUUAUGUGGUUUUACAAACGCUUUGUUCUUUACCACCUCAGCAUAUGUGGAAGAAUAUUGGCUGUGGCUGAGUCAUGCAUCUACAUCAACACAGAGCAAUGCUACUGCUGAUAAAAGAUAUUUACUUGGAAAGUGGAUGCAGAGGACGACAGAUAAAGGUUAUUCAUAGAUGCAUAAAAACAUGGAAUGCUAUAUCUUCAAAAUACCUUACACAUGAUUCUUCCUAAAAUUGCGAUGCUGAGAAAAAACAUGUGAAGCAAUUGGAUCAAAUUUUAGUUGAAAAGGCUUAAAGACAGUGCUUAUGAUGCUGAUCAUGUUAUGGUAUGCAAAGAUUCCGUGUUCUGAACCUGUGCUGACGGAUUCCUUUUGCAAUAUCAUUCAAGGAACACAGAAUUUGGGUAAUGAGGGCGUUAAGAAGGAAGAAGAGGGCUGUCCUGUGACCGUUUCUGGGAGGGUAUUGAUAAAUUGCAGUUGAGCUCACAUGCCGAACAUUCCUUGUCAACAGAAAAUCAGGAGAGUCUUAUGAAUAUGCAUGAUUUCAAUCUUAAAUUUCGAGUAUAUAUAAUUCUGUUAGCUUCUUCAAAGUAGCCUCUGUUUUAAAACUUUUAGUUACUGCUUCUGGAACUCACUAACUCAUCUAAAACUGCCAAACUGUGAUGUCUACGCAAAGAAUUUUACAUUUGCAUCAGGAAGUUCUUAUAAUAGUUGUGCAAGCGUCUCUCAUAAACUGUGAAACCCUUUGUCGUCUGUUUUUUUAGCAAUAAUAAUUCCUAUACCGCUCUCAAGUGACCAAGGUUUUAAAAAGCGAAAGCGUGGGGCAAAGCGCUUUCGUAUCGAAGCGUGAAGCACUUUCAUAUCGAAGCGUGAAGCAUUGCAAAAGCGAAAGCAAGCUUUUUAAAAUAUAUAUAAGAAGUCUCCAACCUAAUAAAAGAAAAAUACGAACUUCAGACAAAUUAAAAGGAACAAUUAAACUAACUAAGCAUACUGAUACGCCUAUUAUAAUCAAGAGCUAUAAAAAUAUGUUUGCAUCAUUCAUAUCAUGUAGGCAGUCAUUCCCCAUAGGGAAAUCUUCGUCACUGAACCCCAUUCAUUUUCUCUUCCUCGAGUCUGACUAGCAGUCCCUAUUGGGCCUCAAAGCCCAACCUUUCAUCUUCUAAUAUAUACCAAAUCACAUGGCGGGGCUCUAGAAGCGCCUAUGACCUAAAGCGCAAAAAAGCGCCCAGAAGCACUUUUUAAACCAUGCAAGUGACAAAAGUU
Long non-coding RNA from Papaver somniferum (opium poppy), 1503 nucleotides. RefSeq lists it as uncharacterized. The transcript is spliced from 5 exons. The record is from RefSeq and is a predicted model, not a curated record. Lineage: Eukaryota; Viridiplantae; Streptophyta; Magnoliopsida; Ranunculales; Papaveraceae.